Molecule: long non-coding RNA, 220 nt
Filed under: Phasianus colchicus (ring-necked pheasant)
Lineage: Eukaryota; Metazoa; Chordata; Aves; Galliformes; Phasianidae
Description: lncRNA (ENSPCLG00000003078.1)
Source: RNAcentral
CAAGAAGUUCUCCAUUAGCUGUGUGUUUUUCUCUAAGGAAAUUAUCGCUUUUUAAUCUGCCAUUCAUCUCAUCCACAGAGGAACAAAGUGGAUUUUCAGGUAACAAGCAUGAAGACUGCAUAAAGUAAAAUUAUUUCUCAUCAGAAAGUGGAAAGACGACUGAGCCUGCUCUGUGAUGAGAGCAUCAUAAAAUCCCUUCGCCUACAACAGUGGAUAUGCU